CUUUGAUGAAGUUUUCGGAUGGAUUUAAAACAGCUUAGUGGCGGACGGGUGAGUAACGCGUGGGUAACCUGCCUCACACUGGGGGAUAACAGUUAGAAAUAGCUGCUAAUACCGCAUAAGCGCACGGUUCCGCAUGGAACAGUGUGAAAAACUCCGGUGGUAUAAGAUGGACCCGCGUUGGAUUAGCUAGUUGGUGAGGUAACGGCCCACCAAAGCGACGAUCAGUAGCCGGCCUGAGAGGGUGAACGGCCACACUGGAACUGAGACACGGUCCAGACUCC
Molecule: ribosomal RNA, 281 nt
Filed under: uncultured Eubacteriales bacterium
Lineage: Bacteria; Bacillati; Bacillota; Clostridia; Eubacteriales
Description: uncultured Clostridiales bacterium partial 16S ribosomal RNA
Rfam family: Bacterial small subunit ribosomal RNA (bases 43-281)
Source: RNAcentral